Molecule: long non-coding RNA, 404 nt
Organism: Camelus dromedarius (Arabian camel)
Lineage: Eukaryota; Metazoa; Chordata; Mammalia; Artiodactyla; Camelidae
Exons: 4
Source: RefSeq, a predicted model, not a curated record
CAGAGCCAGAGCCGCUGUGGCUGCUUCCAGAAGGAUGGGAUCUGAAAGCCAGGAGGAGGAGGAGGGAAACAGGUCUAAGAGAAGAGGCCAGUGGCUAGAAAGUGAGCUGACACAUCUCAAGAAAAGCAUCCCAGGGGGCGUCCUGAUACACGCUCAGCCCAGGCAGCCGCCCUCCCCACCCUGGCGGUAGCCAGCAGGUUUCUCCUAACGCCCCAGACACAGGCUGGAUGCUGUACAUCGCCCACCGAAUCCUCGCCCGCCCUGCCUGGUCACAGUUGUUAUCUCCAGUUUACAGGCAUCCUGCUGUUCCCAUUCUCCCACUGAAUCCUGGCAGCAACAUUCAGAGGCACCAGGCAGACACGUUCCCUGCUCCUUAGCGGUCGGGCAGCUGUUACCAUCCCAUU